This 1181-nucleotide long non-coding RNA is filed under the name Felis catus (domestic cat). RNAcentral's name for it is "lncRNA (ENSFCAG00000047609.1)". Lineage: Eukaryota; Metazoa; Chordata; Mammalia; Carnivora; Felidae. The record is from RNAcentral.
UUUUUAAAUGGCUGAAAAAUCCAGUGAAGAAUAUUUCAUGAUAUGUGAACGUUUUAUGAGAUAUAAAUUCCAGCAUCCAUAAGUCAAGUUUCACUGGAAUGCAGACAUAAAUGUUUGAUUACAUAUCGUCUCUGGCUGCUUUCAUGCUAGAGUUGAAUAGUGUCAAGAAAGAUCAUUUGGCCCCCAAAGUCUAAGAUAUAAGCUAUUUGCACCUUUUCAGAAAAAGUUUGCUAACUCUCAUUUGGUACACCGAUUUCUCCAAAUUUGAUCAGUAGAUUACGCAUCAGAAUGAAGUGGAGAAAAAAAUAAUAAAUGGCGAUUGUCCAUUUCUUCCUUAGACAUUCUUGUCCUGUGGCUCCAGAACAUUUGCAAGGCUCUAGCCUCUGGGCCCAGAAGGCUCUCUCGGGGAGUAAAUACCAUCAAAAUGCCUGGGACUCACUUGCUACACACAGAUGGCUGCAAAUUCUUCUUCCAGGCAAAGUGCAGAAGGUUCCCAGAACCCGGAGAGCAAAGACAGCCCGUGUUCUUCAUGAGAACAGCUGAUCAGAGGUUGUAAAACUGGCUGACAUGGUCUAGGUACUGAAAGAAGAUAUGUAACAAACUCCAAAAUUUAAUUGAAGAAAGCUAAAUGAAGGACAUAUUUUAAGGGGCAUGAGCUGGGUGGGGUAAGAGAACAAACAUGGAAUGGUCAAGAACCCUGCAUGAGACCAUUGCCACCCCUAGGAUGGAAAGCACAACAGUGAGAGAGAAGCAUUUUCGGAACCCGAAGGGAGCUCAGAGCUGCAAAUAGAAGGACACCCCCUCCAUCAAGAGCUAUAACCUUGCUACUCAUCCCCUGCCAGAACCACAGUAAGGAAGAGAUGGUGAAGGGGAUAAAUAUUCCAACCUUGGUUUCCCCUCCACUUUCCUUUGGUCAACCCAAGUGGGAACAUAAGUGAUGUAGUCCAUACAUUUCGGCCACCAUGGGUGGAAAACAAGAGAGAAAACGGUGGAAAAUGGAUAUAAGAGAAGAUGACAAAUGGAUAUUUAAAUAUAUUAUCCACAUAUGAAUGAGAUCACAGAUGUGCGUGCGUGUGUGUGUGUGUGUAAGAGAGAGAGAGAGUUCUCUUUGAUGUCAGUUUGAUUUUUCUGGUUUUUUUUUCAUGUUUAUUAUUUUUGAUAAAGAGUACAAGUGGGGGAGG